RNAcentral lists this ribosomal RNA (460 nucleotides) under uncultured Cryomorphaceae bacterium. RNAcentral describes it as "bacterial LSU rRNA". It matches the Rfam family "Bacterial large subunit ribosomal RNA", at positions 1 to 474 of the family's 2925-position model. The record is from RNAcentral. Lineage: Bacteria; Pseudomonadati; Bacteroidota; Flavobacteriia; Flavobacteriales; Cryomorphaceae.
AAAAAGUUACUUAAGAGCGUAUGGCGAAUGCCUAGGCUCACAGAGGCGAUGAAGGACGUGAUAAGCUGCGAUAAGUUUCGGGUAGGUGCAAAUAACCGUCUGAUCCGAGAAUUUCCGAAUGGGGCAACCCAGCAAGUUGAAGACUUGUUAUCCUUUUUAGGAGGCAAACCCGGAGAACUGAAACAUCUAAGUACCCGGAGGAAGAGAAAACAAUAGUGAUUCCCGUAGUAGCGGCGAGCGAACUGGGAAUAGCCCAAACCAAUUUUGUUACGGCAAAAUUGGGGUUGUAGGACUACAUUGGUUCAUGUGCACUGAAGUAGAAUAUACUGGAAAGUAUAACCAUAGAGGGUGAUAGUCCCGUAAACGUAAGGUUGCAUUAUGACGAGUAGUAUCCUGAGUAGCACGGAACAUGUGAAAUUUUGUGUGAAUCUGCCGGAACCAUCCGGUAAGGCUAAAUACU